This 18-nucleotide small nuclear RNA is filed under the name Arabidopsis thaliana (thale cress). Its description in RNAcentral is "snRNA_11420". The record is from RNAcentral. Lineage: Eukaryota; Viridiplantae; Streptophyta; Magnoliopsida; Brassicales; Brassicaceae.
UCAGGACAUCUCUCUUUC